This 490-nucleotide ribosomal RNA is filed under the name uncultured bacterium. RNAcentral's name for it is "partial 16S ribosomal RNA". It matches the Rfam family "Bacterial small subunit ribosomal RNA", at positions 30 to 507 of the family's 1533-position model. The record is from RNAcentral.
AUUGAACGCUGGCGGCAGGCCUAACACAUGCAAGUCGAACGGUAACAGGAAGAAGCUUGCUUCUUUGCUGACGAGUGGCGGACGGGUGAGUAAUGUCUGGGAAACUGCCUGAUGGAGGGGGAUAACUACUGGAAACGGUAGCUAAUACCGCAUAACGUCGCAAGACCAAAAAGGGGGACCUUCGGGCCUCUUGCCAUCGGAUGUGCCCAGAUGGGAUUAGCUAGUAGGUGGGGUAACGGCUCACCUAGGCGACGAUCCCUAGCUGGUCUGAGAGGAUGACCAGCCACACUGGAACUGAGACACGGUCCAGACUCCUACGGGAGGCAGCAGUGGGGAAUAUUGCACAAUGGGCGCAAGCCUGAUGCAGCCUUGCCGCGUGUAUGAAGAAGGCCUUCGGGUUGUAAAGUACUUUCAGCGGGGAGGAAGGGAGUAAAGUUAAUACCUUGGCUCAUUGACGUUACCCGCAGAAGAAGCACCGGCUAACUCCGUG